ACGGCAAUUGAUGUCAAUGCAAAAUCGUGACAACGACGCCAAAGACGGCAUUUGACGUCGAUCGUUUUUUGAUGAAAAUCUAUUGAAAAACACCCCACUUUUAGGUUGGCAUUAUUUAUUCACAAAACUAAAUUUUACCCCCGUGGCGUCAGUGGCACGGCAAAUGGAUGCGCCGUUUGGCGUUCAAAAGGUUAAUUAAAACAGAAGAUAACGCAAUUGGACGAUAAUAAUUUGGAUCAUUACGGGGUUUAUUCGGUUUGAGAAAGGGUAACCAACUGUAUUUUCCAAUUUGGUGGAAUGUCACCUGUCAUAAAAAUCCCGUUGAUUAAGAAAGUAACCUAUAACCUUGUCACUAGAAUGUUUCAAGAAUGAAUAUGGAAUACCGUCGCAUCCUGGUGCAGAAUCAAUAACAUAUGAUAAGACAUUCUUUAGCUCCAAUAACGAAAAUGGACUGUUAAAACGCUGCACAUUAUCAUUAUCAAUAUUGGACAGGGAAGCCAGUUCAGGACACACAUGGAAUGGGACAAAUGGAGGAGCUAAUUUAUCUAAAAAAUUCUCGGCUACUGGAGGAUCAAGAUUGAUGGCGUUAUUUUCUACAAAAGCUCCUCUAAACAUUCUAACCUUCCUCCAAACUUCUGACGGCUUCUGAACAUUCAGGAUCCCACCAUGGAGGGCAAGGAAUAUUAAAUUUAGAGGACUUCUUACGUGAAAAUACUUCAUCAGCUAUAUUAAUUAUAAACUUAGCAAAAGCAUCAGAAGUUUUAAACAAAUUGUCACGAGAUACAUCAGAUAAUUCGCCCAAUCUCUCAUCCAUAUGUUUGCGAAACUUAUCCCAAUCUGCAUUUUGAAGUUUAUACAACAGUGGAGAUAUUUCAUGUAAUGGUUUGUUUUUAAUAGGAAAAGAAAUGAGAAUUGGAAAAUGAUCACUGCCAUAUGAAAGUGGAAGUACCUCCCACAGUAAGGAGUUUGAUAUAGAAGAGCUACAAAUUGAUGAAUCUAAUGCACUAGGAUUCUCAUUGGGAGCAGACCGACGCGUAGGAACACCAGAAUUCAAUAUACUUAAAUUAUAAUAAUC
Cydia splendana is the source of this 1075-nucleotide long non-coding RNA. RefSeq lists it as uncharacterized. Lineage: Eukaryota; Metazoa; Arthropoda; Insecta; Lepidoptera; Tortricidae. The record is from RefSeq and is a predicted model, not a curated record. The transcript has 2 exons.